CCCUUAGAUGUUCUGGGCAGCACGCGCGCGACAAUGGUCUUCGCAAACGGAUGCAUUCUCGAAGGAGAAUGCCAAUCUUGGAAUCUAUGCCUUGGUCGGGACAGUUGCUUGCAAUUUUUCGACUCGAACCAGGAAUUCCUUGUAAUCGUGAUUCAUCACAUCACGAUGAAUACGUCCCUGCCCUUUGAACACACCGCCCGUCGCUCCUACCGAUUGAAUGAUCCGAUGAAUAUCAUGGAUUGAGGAUGCAAGUAGGUUCGCCUAUCUUCAUCUUCGAGAAGUGAAGUAAAUCUUAUCAUUUAGAGGAAGGAGAGGUCGUAACA
Molecule: ribosomal RNA, 323 nt
Filed under: uncultured eukaryote
Lineage: Eukaryota
Description: partial 18S ribosomal RNA
Rfam family: Eukaryotic small subunit ribosomal RNA
Source: RNAcentral